GGUCCAAAAUCGGCAAGAUCAUUGUUAGGACGCCAUCUUGAAGCAAUAUAAAGAUGAUAGUCCAAUGAUGAUCCAGCUGUUCAAGGCU
Molecule: microRNA precursor, 88 nt
Organism: Caenorhabditis elegans
Lineage: Eukaryota; Metazoa; Nematoda; Chromadorea; Rhabditida; Rhabditidae
Source: Ensembl